GAUGAACGCUGGCGGCGUGCCUAAUACAUGCAAGUCGAGCGAACAGACGAGGAGCUUGCUCCUCUGACGUUAGCGGCGGACGGGUGAGUAACACGUGGAUAACCUACCUAUAAGACUGGGAUAACUUCGGGAAACCGGAGCUAAUACCGGAUAAUAUAUUGAACCGCAGGGUGCAAUAGUGAAAGACGGUGGUGCGGGCACUUAUAGAUGGAUCCGUGCCGCAUUAGCUAGUUGGUAAGGUAACGGCUUACCAAGGCAACGAGGCGUAGCCGACCUGAGAGGCUGAUCGCCCACCCUGGAGCUGGGCCACGGUCCUGGCUCCUACGGGAGGCAGCAGUAGGGAAUCUUCCGCAGUGGGCGGAAGCCUGACGGAGCGACGCCGCGUGAGUGAUGAAGGUCUUCGGAGCGUGAAACUCUGUUAUUAGGGAAGAACAACUGUGUAAGUAACUAUGCACGUCUUGACGGUACCUAAUCAGAAAGCCACGGCUAACUACGUG
Molecule: ribosomal RNA, 497 nt
Filed under: uncultured bacterium
Lineage: Bacteria
Description: partial 16S ribosomal RNA
Rfam family: Bacterial small subunit ribosomal RNA
Source: RNAcentral